Molecule: long non-coding RNA, 260 nt
Organism: Larimichthys crocea (large yellow croaker)
Lineage: Eukaryota; Metazoa; Chordata; Actinopteri; Sciaenidae
Exons: 3
Source: RefSeq, a predicted model, not a curated record
UCUAAAUGAAGCCCCUCCAACUAGUGGACACUAAUGCCAAACGCUGCCAUCGUUGUACACCGCUCCUGAAGCACAGCCUCAGUACAAGCAGCCGGAGGCGGGUCAGCUAGAGCAGAGCGUCGCCUCACUGAGGAAAUGGGCCGAACCGUACACGAACCAGUGUCAGCAAACGGGCCAGGCUGCGAUGGAGAAAGUUGAGGUCAGUGUAAGAAACGCUGCUGAACAUCAUGUAGCUGUUUGAUAACCACGACUUUAAACUC